RNAcentral lists this ribosomal RNA (253 nucleotides) under uncultured bacterium. Its description in RNAcentral is "partial 16S ribosomal RNA". It matches the Rfam family "Bacterial small subunit ribosomal RNA", at positions 524 to 776 of the family's 1533-position model. The record is from RNAcentral.
UACGUAGGGUGCAAGCGUUAAUCGGAAUUACUGGGCGUAAAGCGCGCGUAGGUGGUUCGUUAAGUUGGAUGUGAAAUCCCCGGGCUCAACCUGGGAACUGCAUUCAAAACUGACGAGCUAGAGUAUGGUAGAGGGUGGUGGAAUUUCCUGUGUAGCGGUGAAAUGCGUAGAUAUAGGAAGGAACACCAGUGGCGAAGGCGACCACCUGGACUGAUACUGACACUGAGGUGCGAAAGCGUGGGGAGCAAACAGG